This 639-nucleotide long non-coding RNA is filed under the name Citrus maxima (pomelo). Its description in RNAcentral is "long non-coding RNA (CMAX_LNC003537)". The record is from RNAcentral. Lineage: Eukaryota; Viridiplantae; Streptophyta; Magnoliopsida; Sapindales; Rutaceae.
GAGUAGAUGAAGAAUUGUCAGUCGAAUUUUUUACCGUUAGCACAUCACAUUGUCAUAAAAUGGCAGCGAUUAAUUAGAAAAUGAAAUUGUCAGAUUAGUUUCUUAUUGUCACCGUGGCGCCUGCAGAUUCCAAACAAGCCGUGCUGGCUCUUGAUAUGGAAUUAUAUAUACGAUCAAUAACAGCCUAUUAAUUUGCAUAGGAAGAUGGAAUAGGUAUGACUUAUGAGUGAAUGGUAGCCGCAGAUGUAUACAGAUAUCGUUAGACUGUAACGUGAUAAAGCAAAACAGGAGGGAGCUGGAAAAGUAACUGGGAUUAGCUUGUACGUGGAAAAUGAAAAUUGUAAGCAUGCAUGCAGCAGCGGAGUAGAGAGUACUACGAACUGAAAGAGAAAGUGCUCAAGGAGAUGAUCAUGAAUGAGAUCACUAGCUUGGUGAUUUAGACAUGUCAACCGGCUCAUGCUCAUGCUCAUGCAUCAAGUGUCAGAGUCAGAGAUGCAGCUGCUGCUGCUGCAACGUCGUACGUACAUACCGACAUAUAAUUAAACCUACCUCAGUCAGUCAACCUUGACCUACGAUAUGCGCUUGCCCUUUCAUGAUCAUCUAUCUUGUUCUUGUUGCUCCUGUCUUCUUGUGUUUAAC